GCCACCAUAGCUCAGCCUGGCAGAGCGGCUGACUUGUAAUCAGCAGGUCGGGAGUUCAACUCUCCCUGGUGGCUCCA
This 77-nucleotide transfer RNA is filed under the name Methanomassiliicoccales archaeon. Its description in RNAcentral is "tRNA-Thr". It matches the Rfam family "tRNA". Rfam says of the family: Transfer RNA (tRNA) molecules are approximately 80 nucleotides in length. Their secondary structure includes four short double-helical elements and three loops (D, anti-codon, and T loops). The record is from RNAcentral. Lineage: Archaea; Methanobacteriati; Thermoplasmatota; Thermoplasmata; Methanomassiliicoccales.